UACAGAGGUCCCAAGCGUUGUUCGGAUUCACUGGGCGUAAAGGGUGCGUAGGUGGUGAGGUAAGUCGGAUGUGAAAGCUCGGAGCUCAACUCCGAAAUGGCAUUGGAAACUACCUUGCUCGAGGGUUGGAGGGGGGACUGGAAUGCUUGGUGUAGCAGUGAAAUGCGUAGAUAUCAAGCGGAACACCAGUGGCGAAGGCGAGUUCCUGGACAGUUACUGACGCUGAGGCACGAAGGCCAGGGGAGCAAACGGG
This 253-nucleotide ribosomal RNA is filed under the name uncultured bacterium. RNAcentral's name for it is "partial 16S ribosomal RNA". It matches the Rfam family "Bacterial small subunit ribosomal RNA", at positions 524 to 776 of the family's 1533-position model. The record is from RNAcentral.